UACAGGGGGGGCAAGCGUUGUUCGGAAUUACUGGGCGUAAAGGGCUCGUAGGCGGCCAACUAAGUCACACGUGAAAUCCCCAGGCUUAACCUGGGAACUGCGUGUGAUACUGGAUGGCUUGAAUUCGGGAGAGGGAUGCAGAAUUCCAGGUGUAGAGGUGAAAUUCGUAGAUAUUCGCAAGAACACCAGUGGCGAAGGCGGCUCACUGGCCCGAUACUGACGCUGAGGCACGAAAGCGUGGGGAGCAAACAGG
This 253-nucleotide ribosomal RNA is filed under the name uncultured bacterium. RNAcentral describes it as "partial 16S ribosomal RNA". It matches the Rfam family "Bacterial small subunit ribosomal RNA", at positions 524 to 776 of the family's 1533-position model. The record is from RNAcentral.